GAUGAAGAACGCAGCGAAAUGCGAUAAGUAAUGUGAAUUGCAGAAUUCAGUGAAUCAUCGAAUCUUUGAACGCAUCUUGCGCUCCUUGGUAUUCCUUGGAGCAUGCCUGUUUGAGUAUCAUGAGCAAAUCUCAAAGUCAAUUCCUUUUGUUAAUUCAAUUGGUUUUGCUUUGGACUUGGAGGUCUUGCAGAUUUUCACAGUCUGCUCCUCUUAAAUGCAUUAGCUGGAUCUCAGUAAUUAUGCUUGGUUCCACUCGGCGUGAUAAGUAUCACUCGCUGAGGACACUGUUAAAAAGGUGGCCAGGAAAUACUGAUUGAACCGCUUCUAACGGUCUAUUAAGUUAGACAAUUACCCUUAAGUUUGAUCUCAAAUCAGGUAGGACUACCCGCUGAACUUAAGCAUAUCAAUAAGCGGAGGA
This 418-nucleotide unclassified non-coding RNA is filed under the name soil metagenome. Its description in RNAcentral is "partial contains 5.8S ribosomal RNA, internal transcribed spacer 2, and large subunit ribosomal RNA". The stretch from base 1 to 120 matches the Rfam family "5.8S ribosomal RNA", at positions 35 to 154 of the family's 154-position model. The record is from RNAcentral.